This 484-nucleotide ribosomal RNA is filed under the name uncultured fungus. RNAcentral describes it as "SSU rRNA". It matches the Rfam family "Eukaryotic small subunit ribosomal RNA", at positions 356 to 841 of the family's 1831-position model. The record is from RNAcentral. Lineage: Eukaryota; Fungi.
CGGGUAACGGCGAAUUAGGGUUCGAUUCCGGAGAGGGAGCCUGAGAAACGGCUACCACAUCUUAAGGAAGGCAGCAGGCGCGCAAAUUACCCAAUCCUGAUUCAGGGAGGUAGUGACAAUAAAUAACUAAUCCAGGACUUCGGUCUUGGCAAUGUGGAAUGAGAACAAUUUAAAUCUCUUAUCGAGGAACAAUUGGAGGGCAAGUCUAGGUGCCAGCAGCCGCGGUAAUUCCAGCUCCAAUAGCGUAUAUUAAAGUUGUUGCAGUUAAAUAGCUCGUAGUUGAAUCUUGGGGCUGGUCUUGGCGGGCGGGUCUUUGACGUGUACUGUCGGCCGGUUCUUGUUACUUGUGGGGAAGCGUAUGUUGCCCUUUGCGGGGUGUGUACGGGAACCAUGGCUGUUACUUUGAAAAAAUUAGAGUGUUUAAAGCGGGCGUAAGCUUGUAUACAUUAGCAUGGAAUAAUAGAAUAGGACUUUGGUUUGAUUG